RNAcentral lists this ribosomal RNA (514 nucleotides) under Yersinia pestis. Its description in RNAcentral is "bacterial LSU rRNA". It matches the Rfam family "Bacterial large subunit ribosomal RNA", at positions 1 to 557 of the family's 2925-position model. The record is from RNAcentral. Lineage: Bacteria; Pseudomonadati; Pseudomonadota; Gammaproteobacteria; Enterobacterales; Yersiniaceae.
GUUGUAUAGUCAAGUAAUUAAGUGCAUGUGGUGGAUGCUUGGCAGUCAGAGGCGAAGAAAGACGUGAUAGCCUGCGAAAAGCUCCGGGGAGGCGGCAAAUAUCCUGUGAUCCGGAGAUGUCUGAAUGGGGAAACCCACUUACCAUAAGGUAGGUAUUGCAACAUGAAUACAUAGUGUUGCAAGGCGAACGAGGGGAAGUGAAACAUCUCAGUACCCUUAGGAAAAGAAAUCAAUUGAGAUUCCCUCAGUAGCGGCGAGCGAAAGGGGAAGAGCCCAUUAAGUCAUAUAAGUUCUAGUGGAACGCUCUGGGAAGUGCGACCGUAGACGGUGAUAGUCCUGUACACGAAAGGCUUAUAUGAUGAUGUCGAGUAGGGCGAGGCACGUGAAACCUUGUCUGAAUAUGGGGGGACCAUCCUCCAAGGCUAAAUACUCCUGACUGACCGAUAGUGAACCAGUACCGUGAGGGAAAGGCGAAAAGAACCCCUGUGAGGGGAGUGAAAUAGAUCCUGAAACC